This 758-nucleotide ribosomal RNA is filed under the name uncultured Chloroflexota bacterium. RNAcentral's name for it is "bacterial SSU rRNA". It matches the Rfam family "Bacterial small subunit ribosomal RNA", at positions 68 to 846 of the family's 1533-position model. The record is from RNAcentral. Lineage: Bacteria; Bacillati; Chloroflexota.
GGACAUGUCUUUCGGGAUAUGUUAGUGGCAGACGGGUGCGUAACACGUAGGUGACCUGCCCUGGAGUGGGGAAUAACUAUCCUAGCGGAUAGCUAAUACCGCAUAUGCUCGGUGAUUCAUUUUGCCGAGUAAAGUCGUAAGGCGCUUCAGGAUGGGCCUGCGGCGGAUUAGGUAGUUGGUGGGGUAACGGCCUACCAAGCCGAUGAUCCGUAGGGGGCGUGAGAGCGUGGCCCCCCACACUGGCACUGAGAUACGGGCCAGACUCCUACGGGAGGCAGCAGUGAGGAAUAUUGCGCAAUGGGCGAAAGCCUGACGCAGCAACGCCGCGUGAGGGACGAAGGCCUUCGGGUCGUAAACCUCUUUUCUGGGGAAAGAGCAAGGACGGUACCUCAGGAAUAAGUCUCGGCUAACUACGUGCCAGCAGCCGCGGUAAAACGUAGGAGGCGAGCGUUAUCCGGAUUUACUGGGCGUAAAGAGUUGCGUAGGUGGUUUUUUAAGUGGAGCGUGAAAGAGUAUGGCUCAACCAUACAACUGCGUUCCAAACUAUUAAACUUGAGUAUGAGAGGGGUAGAUGGAAUUUCUAGUGUAGGAGUGAAAUCCGUAGAUAUUAGAAGGAACACCGAUAGCGUAGGCAGUCUACUGGCUCAUUACUGACACUAAGGCACGAAAGCGUGGGGAGCAAACGGGAUUAGAUACCCUGGUAGUCCACGCUGUAAACGAUGUUCACUAGGUGUUGGGGGUAUUGACCCUCUCAGUGC